This is a non-coding RNA of Lamprotornis superbus, 69 nucleotides long. The record is from the annotation of a GenBank genome assembly. NCBI's taxonomy places the organism in Eukaryota, Metazoa, Chordata, Aves, Passeriformes, Sturnidae.
GAUUAGCUCAGUUGGUCAGAGCAUACUGCUAAUAACACCAGGGCGCAGCUUCGAUCCCUGUAUGGGCCA